GUGUUUACUAGUCUUGGUCGUGGUAUGUAGCGUGGUAUGGAAUGUGUUUACUAGUCUUGGUCGUGGUAUGUAGCGUGGUAUGGAAUGUGUUUACUAGUCUUGGUCGUGGUAUGUAGCGUGGUAUGGUAUGUGUUUACUAGUCUUGGUCGUGGUAUGUAAUGUGUUUACUAGUCUUGGUCAUGGUAUGUAGCGUGGUAUGUAGUGUGGUAUGGUAUGUGUUUACUAGUCUUGGUCGUGGUAUGUAGCGUGGUAUGGUAUGUGUUUACUAGUCUUGGUCGUGGUAUGUAGCGUGGUAUGGUAUGUGUUUACUAGUCUUGGUCGUGGUAUGUAGCGUGGUAUGGUAUGUGUUUACUAGUCUUGGUCGUGGUAUGUAGUGUGUUUACUAGUCUUGGUCGUGGUAUGUAGCGUGGUAUGGUGUGUGUUUACUAGUCUUGGUCGUGGUAUGUAGCGUGGUAUGGUGUGUGUUUACUAGUCUUGGUCGUGGUAUGUAGCGUGGUAUGGUGUGUGUUUACUAGUCUUGGUCGUGGUAUGUAGCGUGGUAUGGUGUGUGUUUACUAGUCUUGGUCGUGGACAGGACUGUUGGUUUCCUCUGUUUACUGGCCACAGCAGG
Molecule: long non-coding RNA, 610 nt
Organism: Oncorhynchus tshawytscha (Chinook salmon)
Lineage: Eukaryota; Metazoa; Chordata; Actinopteri; Salmoniformes; Salmonidae
Source: Ensembl